This 332-nucleotide ribosomal RNA is filed under the name Salmonella enterica. Its description in RNAcentral is "partial 23S ribosomal RNA". It matches the Rfam family "Bacterial large subunit ribosomal RNA", at positions 1213 to 1547 of the family's 2925-position model. Lineage: Bacteria; Pseudomonadati; Pseudomonadota; Gammaproteobacteria; Enterobacterales; Enterobacteriaceae. RNAcentral also lists the same sequence under 1 other name. The record is from RNAcentral.
CUCAGGUGUUGUUGGGUAGGGGAGCGUUCUGUAAGCCUGCGAAGGUGGCCUGUGAGGGUUGCUGGAGGUAUCAGAAGUGCGAAUGCUGACAUAAGUAACGAUAAAGCGGGUGAAAAGCCCGCUCGCCGGAAGACCAAGGGUUCCUGUCCAACGUUAAUCGGGGCAGGGUGAGUCGACCCCUAAGGCGAGGCCGAAAGGCGUAGUCGAUGGGAAACGGGUUAAUAUUCCCGUACUUGGUGUUACUGCGAAGGGGGGACGGAGAAGGCUAUGUUGGCCGGGCGACGGUUGUCCCGGUUUAAGCGUGUAGGUGUGUGUUCCAGGUAAAUCCGGUU